This is a long non-coding RNA of Hypanus sabinus (Atlantic stingray), 156 nucleotides long. RefSeq lists it as uncharacterized. NCBI's taxonomy places the organism in Eukaryota, Metazoa, Chordata, Chondrichthyes, Myliobatiformes, Dasyatidae. The transcript has 3 exons. The record is from RefSeq and is a predicted model, not a curated record.
CUUUCAUGCUCUUAAAGGUUUCCAAGGGGAAACUGCCUGCUCCUGUAACAAGCCCAUUCAUUUCCACCAGGAGAGCAGCAACAGCAAGAAGAGAACAUGAUCUGGGGGGUGACGAUCCCUGACGAUGGAUGUUGCUUUCCAUAUAGAUGUGCUCAA